This 965-nucleotide long non-coding RNA is filed under the name Gossypium barbadense (sea-island cotton). RNAcentral describes it as "long non-coding RNA (GBAR_LNC014296)". Lineage: Eukaryota; Viridiplantae; Streptophyta; Magnoliopsida; Malvales; Malvaceae. The record is from RNAcentral.
UUUGCCAGAAAAUUGGUUUUGAAACAAAUUCUGGGUUCUCUUCUCUGCAAAAUCGGAAGUUAAGGUCAGUUAUUGUUGCUUUGUCUCUUAUUUCUUUCUCUCCCUAAAAUGGUGAUAUAGGAGGAAUGCAAUUUUAAAGAUGUUCAUUGUUACAGCUUCAAAGAAGCAAGGGAUGUUAUUUGCUCAUCCAGGAUUGAACAUUUAAGAGAUUUGGAUACAAUAUAAUACAAAAAACAACAGAGUUAUACCUCCUUUGAAAUGGUGGUAGACUUUGGUUUCUAGUACUGCUCAACUUAUCUUCCGCUUUUCCCGGCCGGAACCAGAAAUGGCAUAAGCGAUCAGUCAAAAGAUUAUGCAGAUAAAAUUAGAAAAAGAAAAACAUUUCAUCUUGAUUUGAAUUAAAUAAUGUUGGGUGAGAGAGAAUAGAAUUAUUACCUAUAGAGGCAAGUAAUCUGGUUGAUGGCAGAUUCCUGUAUCAAAAACAAAGGAGAAUGAGGUGUGGCAAAUUCUUCAUUAAUGGGUUCAAGAAAGAAAAGUGGAGGUAUACAAGGAAUGAAAAGGUUGGGUGGUUUAUAAAAGCAAAGACAAAGGAAGAAGUGGUGGUGUAGGUGAUGUUCAUAGGCCUAGAGACGAGCAUGCAAAGCAAGCUUGGGUUAUAUGCAUUACUUUGUUCGCAUGCAAAAGUCGGCUUUGGAUAUUCUUAACCCUCAGUCUACCACAAGAUACGUAUUCUUUCUUUGUCUUCAGGCUUUUGGGUUUUUAUUUAUUUCAUCUCGUUUUAAACAGCCUCAAGGGACGUUUCCUUUCCCAAAAGUUUGACAAGAAUCUUGUUUUUGCCUGCUCACCUAGCUUUGCCUUUUUAGUCGUUGCCUACGUUAUUACCACCACGCUUUUCAAGUUUUUAAAUCUAUUUAUUGGAUUUCUUUUCCAAACAAAUUUAUAAAUGUUACUAUAUAAUUUUCAGG